RNAcentral lists this ribosomal RNA (492 nucleotides) under uncultured bacterium. RNAcentral describes it as "partial 16S ribosomal RNA". It matches the Rfam family "Bacterial small subunit ribosomal RNA", at positions 29 to 507 of the family's 1533-position model. The record is from RNAcentral.
AGUGAACGCUGGCGGUAGGCCUAACACAUGCAAGUCGAACGGCAGCACAGUAAGAUCUUUCUCUUACCGUUGGCGAGUGGCGGACGGGUGAGGCAUACAUCAGCAUCUUCUUUUUCGUGGAUGAUUACGUGGGGCCGCUGACACUACUACCUCAUACGACGUACGGCUGAAUUCAGUGGAUCUUCGCGCCUUUCCCGACUCAAUUAGCCGAGGUCGGGCUAGCUAGUUGGCUGGGUAAAGGCCCACCAAGGCGACGAACCGUAGCGGGUCUGAGAGGAUGAUCAGCCACACUGGAACUGAGACACGGUCCAGACUCCUACGGGAGGCAGCAGUGGGGAAUAUUGGACAAUGGGCGCAAGCCUGACCCAGCCAUACCGCGUGAGUGAAGAAGGCCUUCGGGUUGUAAAGCCCUUUUGUUGGGAAAGAAAAGCAGCAGGUUAAAACCCCGCUGUUCCGACGGUACCCAAAGAAUAAGCACCGGCUAACUUCGUG